AUCGCCCCCCACCUCCCCACGCCCGACCUCUGCUUCUCUGCUUCUCACCUCUAUCGCGCCGCCGCCAGCUCGCGCUCACCAGAUCCACUGCUCCGCCGGCGACUCAUUGCCACUCCGCCAGCCGACGAAGCAUCUCCCCGACGCGACCUCGCCGGCCGCCGACGCAUCCUUGCAGUUCCACCUCACCAGCCAUCUGCAGCCGGCUCGGACCUCCAGCUCGUUCCCACUCGCAUCGGUUGAACGCAGAUUCCGUCCCAAUGUUUCUCCGUCGAUCCUCCACGCUGAGCAGCACGUCUACCCCGUAAUCCACUUCACCGAUGCUACCCACCUGCGCCCCCGCGGAGGGGUCUCAGUUGCCAGGCUCCCCCAUCUUUUGAAUCGGGGGGCUGCAUCCCCAAUCGAUUUAAUCGGCCGGCCUGAGUACAGGCCUUUGGAUUGCGAGAUUGCAGCCCUCUUUGAGCCUCCACAACUCCAAAUUAAAGCAAUGUCUAGAAAAGAUUCGAUCAUGCUCCAGAGUCGAUAUGCAGCUGCUCGGUUACACGAUAUUGUCAAGGGUCUCCAAACGAGAAGGAAAGAGCUCAUCCGUGAGAAAAAAUGGGGUAAUCUGCUUAAUAUUAGCAACUUCUCAGCUCCAGAGGGUCUCCUAGAAUGGAUCAUUGACAGGAUUGACCCGAAGCUAGGUGAAUUUCGGAAUCCACGAAACAAUACCAGCAUUCUAUUCACUGCAAAAAUGGUUGAAAAGGUUCUCGGACUUCCUGCUGGUACUAGGCCUGUGGUUAUCAUAAGCAAGCAUGAAGAAUCACCUCACCGAGAAUUCUACAAGACGGACUUUCCACAUGGGAGACGGGCGCCCAUUUAAUAUGCUGCAAAUAUGCUAGAAAAAGACAAUGGUCUAGAUGAUGAGACCUUCUUUAGGACCUUCUUCCUAGUAGCAUUGGCUACUCAUAUUGCACCUGGAACUGAAAAUAUGGUGCCUUUGGAGUAUUUAGGCAGCCUUGAAGUUGCUUCCGAGGUUUGCGAGUAUGCAUGGGGAGAACAAAUUCUCAAAGAUGUCAUGUGCGAGAUCGACACUUUCCAAAAGAAGAAGAAGAAAGCACUAUUAGAUGGUGUCUUCAAAAAAAUAUGGGUUGGCGGCUGCUUACCCUUGCUCGCGGUAGCCACAAUACAUUACACUUUUUUUCUAUG
Triticum aestivum (bread wheat) is the source of this 1185-nucleotide long non-coding RNA. RefSeq lists it as uncharacterized. The record is from RefSeq and is a predicted model, not a curated record. Lineage: Eukaryota; Viridiplantae; Streptophyta; Magnoliopsida; Poales; Poaceae. The transcript has 2 exons.